RNAcentral lists this ribosomal RNA (153 nucleotides) under Hofstenia miamia. Its description in RNAcentral is "5.8S ribosomal RNA". It matches the Rfam family "Bacterial large subunit ribosomal RNA", at positions 13 to 167 of the family's 2925-position model. Lineage: Eukaryota; Metazoa; Xenacoelomorpha; Acoela; Hofsteniidae. The record is from RNAcentral.
AAGCGUACACGGUGGAUGCCUUGGCAGUCAGAGGCGAUGAAGGACGUGGUAAUCUGCGAUAAGCGUUGGGGAGCUGAUAAACAAGCUUUGAUCCAGCGAUUUCCGAAUGGGGAAACCCACCAACAUAAGUUGGUAUUCCUUACCUGAAUACAU